AUGCCCCAUUGGGUGCUCCACUGGGUUCUCCAUUGGGUGUCCCAUUGGGUGCUCCAUGGGUGCUCCAUUGGGUUCCCCAUUGGGUGCUCCAUUGGGUUCCCCAUUGGGUUCUCCAUUGGGUUCUCCAUUGGGUGCUCCAUUGGGUUCUCCAUUGGGUUCCCCAUUGGGUGUCCCAUUGGGUGUCCCAUUGGGUUCCCCAUUGAAUGCCCCAUUGAGUGCUCCACUGGGUUCUCCAUUGGGUGUCCCAUUGGGUUCUCCAUUGGGUGCUCCAUUGGGUUCCCCAUUGGGUUCUCCAUUGGGUUCUCCAUUGGGUGCUCCAUUGGGUUCCCCAUUGGGUUCUCCAUUGGGUGCUCCAUUGGGUUCCCCAUUGGGUUCUCCAUUGGGUUCUCCAUUGGGUUCCCCAUUGGGUUCUCAAUUGGGUUCCCCAUUGCGUGCUCCAUUGGGUUCCCCAUUGGGUUCUCCAUUGGGUUCUCCAUUGGGUUCUCCAUUGGAUUCUCCAUUGGGUUCUCCAUUGGGUGCUCCAUUGGGUUCUCCAUUGGGUUAUCCAUUGGGUUCUCCAUUGGAUUCCCCAUUGCGUGCUCCAUUGGGUUCCCCAUUGGGUUCUCCAUUGGGUUCUCCAUUGGGUUCCCCAUUGGGUUCUCCAUUGGGUUCUCCAUUGGGUUCUCCAUUGGGUUCCCCAUUGGGUUCUCCAUUGGGUGUCCCAUUGGAUUCCCCAUUGGGUUCUCCAUUGGGUUCCCCAUUGGGUGCCCCAUUGGGUCCCAUUGUGCCCCCGCAGAUCGAGGAGAUCUUCAAGGCUGCCGGGCACCCGUUCAUGUGGAACGAGCACCUGGGCUACAUCCUGACCUGCCCGUCCAACCUGGGCACGGGGCUGCGCGGCGGCGUCCACGUGCGCCUGCCCCAGCUCAGUCAGCACCCCAAGUUCGAGGAGAUCCUCAAGCGCCUGCGCCUCCAGAAGCGCGGCACAGGUGGGGCGGAACGGGGGGGGGAUGGAGAGGGGACAUGGGGGGGGGGGUUAUGGGGAUGUGGUAUGGGAUAUGGGAUGUGGGGAAUGGGAUAUGG
RNAcentral lists this long non-coding RNA (1059 nucleotides) under Amazona collaria (yellow-billed parrot). RNAcentral's name for it is "lncRNA (ENSACOG00000013460.1)". Lineage: Eukaryota; Metazoa; Chordata; Aves; Psittaciformes; Psittacidae. The record is from RNAcentral.